RNAcentral lists this ribosomal RNA (441 nucleotides) under uncultured bacterium. RNAcentral's name for it is "partial 16S ribosomal RNA". It matches the Rfam family "Bacterial small subunit ribosomal RNA", at positions 338 to 795 of the family's 1533-position model. The record is from RNAcentral.
CCUACGGGUGGCUGCAGUGGGGAAUAUUGGGCAAUGGGCGAAAGCCUGACCCAGCAACGCCGCGUGAAGGAAGAAGGCUUUCGGGUUGUAAACUUCUUUUGACAGGGAAGAGCAGAAGACGGUACCUGUCGAAUAAGCCACGGCUAACUACGUGCCAGCAGCCGCGGUAAUACGGAGGAUGCGAGCGUUAUCCGGAUUUAUUGGGUUUAAAGGGUGCGUAGGCGGAAGGUUAAGUCAGCGGUCAAAUGUCGGUGCUCAACACCGGCCUGCCGUUGAAACUGGUCUUCUUGAGUGAGCGAGAAGUAUGCGGAAUGCGUGGUGUAGCGGUGAAAUGCAUAGAUAUCACGCAGAACUCCGAUUGCGAAGGCAGCAUACCGGCGCUCAACUGACGCUGAGGCACGAAAGCGUGGGGAUCGAACAGGAUUAGAUACCCUAGUAGUC